Molecule: non-coding RNA, 216 nt
Organism: Oncorhynchus mykiss (rainbow trout)
Lineage: Eukaryota; Metazoa; Chordata; Actinopteri; Salmoniformes; Salmonidae
Source: RefSeq, a predicted model, not a curated record
UGAUAUCCUCCGUCCUCUACCUGACCCUUACAGACGCAGAUGCCGGACCCGAAGACGUUCAAGCAGCACUUUGAGAGCAAGCAUCCCAAAUCCCCAAUGCCCCCAGAGCUGGAUGAUGUUGAGGCUUAAAAGACCAACACACACAAUGGACCUACAGCUGGACACACGAUGACCACGAUUAGAGCGCUGCAACUGGAACUUAAUGGCGUCAAGAGA